Non-coding RNA from Poecilia latipinna (sailfin molly), 1171 nucleotides. The record is from the annotation of a RefSeq genome assembly. Lineage: Eukaryota; Metazoa; Chordata; Actinopteri; Cyprinodontiformes; Poeciliidae.
UUAAGCCGUAAAGGUGCUUGAACAAGCAGCAAGUAAGCAGGUCUUUCUAGUCAGAGUCCAGCUCGGUACUUUUUGAUAUGAAGCUGAAGCUCUGUGAUAACAGAGAAGCUUAUUUCGGCCAGGGAACAAAGCUGACUGUUCUGGAUGCUGAAGUCCAGCCCCCGACUGUGAAAAUUCUAGAACCUUCAAAAAAAGAAUGCAAAGACAAGAAAGGGAAGAAGAAGAAGACCCUGGUCUGUGUGGCCUCUGAUUUCUACCCCGAUCAUGUCAGCGUGUCCUGGACGCGCAAUGGCCAGAACAUAACUGAUGAUAUCCAAGUGUCCACUGACGCCGCCGCCACCGCCAAGAAGGAUGGAAAAAAUUACAAAAUCACCAGCAGGCUGAUGGUACCCAUUAAGGAUUGGGUUGAGCCAAACAUUAAUUUUACGUGCACUGUCAGCUUCUUUAAUGGGAAAAGUAACAUCAAAAAGAAUACAACUUAUACAACAAAAGGCAUAGAUUACCCAGUCAUCACUCGAGAGAGCUACAUAAAGAUCACCCAGAACGCCAAAAUUUCCUACACCGUCCUGAUCCUGAAGAGCUGCCUCUACGCCGCCUUGGUCUGCUUUCUGGUCUGGAAGCUUCAGAGAAAACGUGGAAAACAGACCAAGUGAGAGCGGAGCUGAAGCUUUCAAUCUUCCUCCUUGUACAUAAUAAACCUGAUCUGCUGUUAUUCUGCACAGACGAGAUAAUCUUUGGAUAUUUCAUGUUAUUUUACAGAAAUGAUAAAACUCAAAAUCUCACCAAGUGGUUUUGGUCUAGUAUCUAGUGAAAAUAUCUUGAAGAAAGACAAAAGUAACUUACAAGUGACUUUUCAGCAACAUAUUAGUUUGUUUUAAAUCAAUAAACCUUUACCGAGGAUAAACUAGUUCCAUUAACAGAUUAAUUUAUAACGAGACAUUUUCUCCAUGUAAAAAUAAUCUGCCAAUGGAACUAGAACUUCACCAAUAUUAAGACUUAGAAAAAGCUUCUAUAUAUUGCUGAAAAGUCACUUUUAAAUUAGUUUAGUUUUAUUUCAAGUUUUUUUUGGGGGGGGGCGGUUUAGAUAAUUGCACUAGAUACUAGACCUAAAAUUAUGAUUUUGUAUUUUUGCAGUGUAUUAUUGUAUUUUUCCAGAUACUUUCUAAAUAAG